ACCAGAACACUUGGUGAGCUCCGGCAAAGCUGGUGCACUGCAGUGAGACAAAACACCAGGCUACAGUGGCUACCGCUAACGUGACUCAAAACGACGUUGCUGGCUCAGACUGCUGUAAACCCCCGAAGUUCACGGUAAAGCAAGGAAAGGACAACAAUUAUUCAGGAAUAAUCUUCAUGUGAUGUAUCAUUCCUCCAAAGGGCUUGGGGCAGCAAUGGAAGGAGGUGGGAAAGGC
RNAcentral lists this long non-coding RNA (235 nucleotides) under Struthio camelus australis. RNAcentral describes it as "lncRNA (ENSSCUG00000018581.1)". The record is from RNAcentral. Lineage: Eukaryota; Metazoa; Chordata; Aves; Struthioniformes; Struthionidae.